RNAcentral lists this ribosomal RNA (253 nucleotides) under uncultured bacterium. Its description in RNAcentral is "partial 16S ribosomal RNA". It matches the Rfam family "Bacterial small subunit ribosomal RNA", at positions 524 to 776 of the family's 1533-position model. The record is from RNAcentral.
UACGUAGGGUGCGAGCGUUAAUCGGAUUUACUGGGCGUAAAGCAUGCGCAGGCGGCGGUUCAAGUCAGGUGUGAAAUCCCCGAGCUUAACUUGGGAAUUGCGCUUGAAACUAGAUCGCUAGAGUACGGCAGAGGGGGGUAGAAUUCCACGUGUAGCAGUGAAAUGCGUAGAGAUGUGGAGGAACACCGAUGGCGAAGGCAGCCCCCUGGGCCUGUACUGACGCUCAUGCAUGAAAGCGUGGGGAGCAAACAGG